This is a long non-coding RNA of Osmia bicornis bicornis, 1369 nucleotides long. RefSeq lists it as uncharacterized. The transcript is spliced from 2 exons. Lineage: Eukaryota; Metazoa; Arthropoda; Insecta; Hymenoptera; Megachilidae. The record is from RefSeq and is a predicted model, not a curated record.
CGAUAAAAAAGAUCAAGUUCUCAUUACAGAGCACUUAAACGAUAAAUUGAAACACCGGUUUUUAACUGUUCAAAGGAAUGAGCUCGAUUAAAAUGGCAGAAUUUUUCUACUUUUACCUCGGCGAAUCCCUACAUACGAUAUGCUUGGAUUCGCUCCAAGGCUGGUGAAAUUUCUGGCUGAAAAUUCCAAAAAAAGAGCAACAGCUAAUGCGUUUUUAAACGCAGCGAAAAAGAGUGGGAGUCAGCGGUGUCGUAACGAAUUUAAUGAGACUAACUAUAGACAAGAUCGUACGUUUCACCGAGACGGUCAAUUGCUAAUUAAAAUACCGAACAAAGCGAAAAUAGCCGCAGACUUUCAGCCAACCAACCAGCUCUUCUUUUUAAUCCUCUAUCCAAAGAUGAAGGUGUGAAUUGAAAGUAACAACAUUCUAAUAUUCGACGUAAAUCAAUAGGUAAUUUAUUAACUAUUACAAUACAUUUAUAAUGAUUCCUUCAUUCAUGCAAUGUCUGGAAGCAAUGUUACCUAUAAAUAAUAAAUGUGCAUUUCAUUCAUGGUUCAGGGAAUUGAAUGAAACCAGUGAAUUAAAUUCGCGUUUAUUUUCAACGUGUUUCACAAGAAUGCUUUAUUACAGAGAGAAGACGAAUAAUGAAUAAUGUUUAUACAACAAAAGUGAGUAAUGCUAUUAAUCAUAGAUCAAGGAAGAAAUUAAGACGCUUUCCUGUUAUCUCUGCCCAGAUUAAUGUUAAUAUUAUUUGGCAAUUUUUUGUCCAAUCUUUACCAUAUCAAUUAAAAUGUUUAUUUUGACACUUUAAUGACCGCACGUCUACAGUUGUUCCAGCUAUCACACACAUGUUGUGUAAGCGGCCAUUAAAGUAUUAAUAUUGAUAUGAUAGCACUUAAUGGGUUAAGAAAAUCCAAAAACUUCUUUCGAAAUGAUUUAUUCAUUUUCAACAUGAGAAGUUACAUUACAUCUACAUAUGUUAUCUUUAAAAUAAAGGUAUCUUCGUUAGUUUGUAUCUGCAAUAAUUUUUCUUGCAGUCUCUGUAUCGUAACGGAGCAGAACUGAUAGCGUACGAUCAUUCGGCGCAAGCGUCUUGUAACAUUCAACGCAAGGUUGUGGUCGCUCCCUCUCACUCUGCUUUAAGGUUGAAUUAAUUAGGUAAGAAACACACUAAUGGAAGAAUUGUUGAUACAUUGACGAAUCCGCAAACGGGAAGGCACAACACAGCCGGCUAAGUUUUUCCUCGGAGUGAUGUAUCCGUGAAAAAAUAUCCAGCCAGAAGGAAGAAGCGGCCCAUUUACAGGGUACAAUUAAGCAUUAAAAUGUGUAACAAUGUACCUAUAUGGAGAGACUGGCGGAAGGGAAAAA